UAGGGAAUCUUCCACAAUGGACGCAAGUCUGAUGGAGCAACGCCGCGUGAGUGAAGAAGGUUUUCGGAUCGUAAAGCUCUGUUGUUGGUGAAGAAGGAUAGAGGCAGUAACUGGUCUUUAUUUGACGGUAAUCAACCAGAAAGUCACGGCUAACUACGUGCCAGCAGCUGCGGUAAUACGUAGGUGGCAAGCGUUGGCCGGAUUUAUUGGGCGUAAAGAGAGCGCAGGCGGAAUGAUAAGUAUGAUGUGAAAGCCCACGGCUCAACCGUGGGAUUGACUCUGAAAGUGUUAUUCUUGAGUGCAGAAGAGGUGAGUGGAAUUCCAUGUGUAGCGGUGGAAUGCGUAGAUAUAUGGAAGAACACCAGUGGCGAAGGCGGCUCUCUGGUCUGCAACUGACGCUGAGGCUCGAAAGCAUGGGUAGCGAACAGG
RNAcentral lists this ribosomal RNA (429 nucleotides) under bacterium. RNAcentral describes it as "partial 16S ribosomal RNA". It matches the Rfam family "Bacterial small subunit ribosomal RNA", at positions 355 to 776 of the family's 1533-position model. The record is from RNAcentral.